GACGAACGCUGGCGGCGUGCUUAACACAUGCAAGUCGAACGGAAAGGCCCUGCUUUUGUGGGGUGCUCGAGUGGCGAACGGGUGAGUAACACGUGAGUAACCUGCCCUUGUCUUUGGGAUAACUUCAGGAAACUGGGGCUAAUCCCGUAUAGGAUCUCCUGCUGCGUGGUGGGGGUUGGAAAGUUUCGGCGGUUGGGGAUGGACUCGCGGCUUAUCAGCUUGUUGGUGGGGUAGUGGCUUACCAAGGCUUUGACGGGUAGCCGGCCUGAGAGGGUGACCGGCGACCUGGGGACUGCGGUACGGCCCAGAGUCCUACGGGAGGCAGCAGUGGGGAAUAUUGCACAAUGGGCGGAAGCCUGAUGCAGCAACGCCGCGUGCGGGAUGACGGCCUGCGGGUUGUAAACCGCUUUCGCCUGUGACGAAGCGUGAGUGACGGUAAUGGGUAAAGAAGCACCGGCUAACUACGUG
Molecule: ribosomal RNA, 468 nt
Filed under: uncultured bacterium
Lineage: Bacteria
Description: partial 16S ribosomal RNA
Rfam family: Bacterial small subunit ribosomal RNA
Source: RNAcentral